Molecule: long non-coding RNA, 329 nt
Filed under: Carica papaya (papaya)
Lineage: Eukaryota; Viridiplantae; Streptophyta; Magnoliopsida; Brassicales; Caricaceae
Description: long non-coding RNA (CPAP_LNC010077)
Source: RNAcentral
CGGCCAACUGAACAUGUUCUAGCACCUCUGCAUACGAGAUGGGUCUUAGCAUCCCAACCCAAUCAUAGAUGUCGACACGAAGGCUUUUUAAAAACUUCUUAGCCUUACGACUUUCAGGGGUGACCAUUAGAGGGGCAAAUCUAGUUAGUUAGAUAAAACGGGCUGCAUAUUAGGAAAUCAUUAGAUUUCUUUGGUAGAGAUCCUGAAACUUCUCCCCUUUCUUUUCUUAGACAUAGGUAGGGAAAAAGUUGUCAAAUAAUGCAUUCAUGAAAACCUCCCAAGUGGUAGGGGUAGGUAGGACUUCCUUCUUAAGUCGCCACUAGUGUUCU